GAUGAACGCUGGCGGCGUGCCUAAUACAUGCAAGUCGAGCGAACGGACGAGAAGCUUGCUUCUCUGAUGUUAGCGGCGGACGGGUGAGUAACACGUGGAUAACCUACCUAUAAGACUGGGAUAACUUCGGGAAACCGGAGCUAAUACCGGAUAAUAUUUUGAACCGCAUGGUUCAAAAGUGAAAGACGGUCUUGCUGUCACUUAUAGAUGGAUCCGCGCUGCAUUAGCUAGUUGGUAAGGUAACGGCUUACCAAGGCAACGAUGCAUAGCCGACCUGAGAGGGUGAUCGGCCACACUGGAACUGAGACACGGUCCAGACUCCUACGGGAGGCAGCAGUAGGGAAUCUUCCGCAAUGGGCGAAAGCCUGACGGAGCAACGCCGCGUGAGUGAUGAAGGUCUUCGGAUCGUAAAACUCUGUUAUUAGGGAAGAACAUAUGUGUAAGUAACUGUGCACAUCUUGACGGUACCUAAUCAGAAAGCCACGGCUAACUACGUGCCAGCAGCCGCGGUAAUACGUAGGUGGCAAGCGUUAUCCGGAAUUAUUGGGCGUAAAGCGCGCGUAGGCGGUUUUUUAAGUCUGAUGUGAAAGCCCACGGCUCAACCGUGGAGGGUCAUUGGAAACUGGAAAACUUGAGUGCAGAAGAGGAAAGUGGAAUUCCAUGUGUAGCGGUGAAAUGCGCAGAGAUAUGGAGGAACACCAGUGGCGAAGGCGACUUUCUGGUCUGUAACUGACGCUGAUGUGCGAAAGCGUGGGGAUCAAACAGGAUUAGAUACCCUGGUAGUCCACGCCGUAAACGAUGAGUGCUAAGUGUUAGGGGGUUUCCGCCCCUUAGUGCUGCAGCUAACGCAUUAAGCACUCCGCCUGGGGAGUACGACCGCAAGGUUGAAACUCAAAGGAAUUGACGGGGACCCGCACAAGCGGUGGAGCAUGUGGUUUAAUUCGAAGCAACGCGAAGAACCUUACCAAAUCUUGGCAUCCUUUGACAACUCUAGAGAUAGAGCCUUCCCCUUCGGGGGACAAAGUGACAGGUGGUGCAUGGUUGUCGUCAGCUCGUGUCGUGAGAUGUUGGGUUAAGUCCCGCAACGAGCGCAACCCUUAAGCUUAGUUGCCAUCAUUAAGUUGGGCACUCUAAGUUGACUGCCGGUGACAAACCGGAGGAAGGUGGGGAUGACGUCAAAUCAUCAUGCCCCUUAUGAUUUGGGCUACACACGUGCUACAAUGGACAAUACAAAGGGCAGCGAAACCGCGAGGUCAAGCAAAUCCCAUAAAGUUGUUCUCAGUUCGGAUUGUAGUCUGCAACUCGACUACAUGAAGCUGGAAUCGCUAGUAAUCGUAGAUCAGCAUGCUACGGUGAAUACGUUCCCGGGUCU
This 1372-nucleotide ribosomal RNA is filed under the name uncultured bacterium. Its description in RNAcentral is "bacterial SSU rRNA". It matches the Rfam family "Bacterial small subunit ribosomal RNA", at positions 28 to 1381 of the family's 1533-position model. The record is from RNAcentral.